RNAcentral lists this ribosomal RNA (460 nucleotides) under uncultured bacterium. RNAcentral's name for it is "partial 16S ribosomal RNA". It matches the Rfam family "Bacterial small subunit ribosomal RNA", at positions 338 to 795 of the family's 1533-position model. The record is from RNAcentral.
CCUACGGGAGGCAGCAGUGAGGAAUAUUGGUCAAUGGGCGCGAGCCUGAACCAGCCAAGUAGCGUGAAGGAUGACUGCCCUACGGGUUGUAAACUUCUUUUAUAAAGGAAUACAGUGAGGCACGUGUGCCUUUUUGUAUGUACUGUACGAAUAAGGAUCGGCUAACUCCGUGCCAGCAGCCGCGGUAAUACAGAGGAUCCGAGGGUUAUCCGGAGUGAUUGGGUUUAAAGGGAGCGUAGGUGGGUUGUUAAGUCAGUUGUGAAAGUGUGCGGCUCAACCGUAAAAUUGCACUUGAUACUAGCAGCCUUGAGUACAGUAGAGGUAGGCGGAAUUCGUGGUGUAGCGGUGAAAUGCUUAGAUAUCACGAAGAACUCCGAUUGCGAAGGCAGCCUACUAAGCUGCCACUGACACUGAGGCUCGAAAGUGUGGGUAUCAAACAGGAUUAGAUACCCUUGUAGUC